UACGGAGGGUGCGAGCGUUGUCCGGAAUCACUGGGCGUAAAGGGCGCGUAGGUGGCUCGUGAAGCGUGCGGUGAAAGUCCGAGGCUCAACCUCGGAUCGGCCGUGCGGACUCGCGGGCUGAAGCGUUGUAGAGGCGGGUGGAAUUCCGGGUGUAGCGGUGGAAUGCGUAGAGAUCCGGAAGAACACCGGUGGCGAAGGCGGCCCGCUGGGCAACUGCUGACACUGAGGCGCGACAGCGUGGGGAGCAAACAGG
Molecule: ribosomal RNA, 253 nt
Filed under: uncultured bacterium
Lineage: Bacteria
Description: partial 16S ribosomal RNA
Rfam family: Bacterial small subunit ribosomal RNA
Source: RNAcentral